RNAcentral lists this ribosomal RNA (329 nucleotides) under uncultured eukaryote. RNAcentral describes it as "partial 18S ribosomal RNA". It matches the Rfam family "Eukaryotic small subunit ribosomal RNA", at positions 1470 to 1796 of the family's 1831-position model. The record is from RNAcentral.
CCCUUAGAUGUUCUGGGCCGCACGCGCGCUACACUGAUGCAUUCAGCGAGUCUAAAACCUGCUCUGAUAGGGGUGGGUAAUCUUUUGAAUGUGCAUCGUGAUUGGGAUAGAUGAUUGCAAUUUUUCAUCUUCAACGAGGAAUGCCUAGUAAACGCAAGUCAUCAGCUUGCAUUGAUUACGUCCCUGCCCUUUGUACACACCGCCCGUCGCUCCUACCGAUUGAAUGAUCCGAUGAAUAUCAUGGAUUGAGGAUGCAAGUAGGUUCGCCUAUCUUCAUCUUCGAGAAGUGAAGUAAAUCUUAUCAUUUAGAGGAAGGAGAAGUCGUAACA